Molecule: ribosomal RNA, 467 nt
Filed under: uncultured bacterium
Lineage: Bacteria
Description: partial 16S ribosomal RNA
Rfam family: Bacterial small subunit ribosomal RNA
Source: RNAcentral
ACGAACGCUGGCGGCGUGCUUAACACAUGCAAGUCGAACGGAAAGGCCCUGCUUUUGUGGGGUGCUCGAGUGGCGAACGGGGGAGUAACACGUGAGUAACCUGCCCUUGACUUUGGGAUAACUUCAGGAAACUGGGGCUAAUACCGGAUAGGAGCUCCUGCUGCAUGGUGGGGGUUGGAAAGUUUCGGCGGUUGGGGAUGGACUCGCGGCUUAUCAGCUUGUUGGUGGGGUAGUGGCUUACCAAGGCUUUGACGGGUAGCCGGCCUGAGAGGGUGACCGGCCACAUUGGGCCUGAGAUACGGCCCAGACUCCUACGGGAGGCAGCAGUGGGGAAUAUUGCACAAUGGGCGGAAGCCUGAUGCAGCAACGCCGCGUGCGGGAUGACGGCCUUCGGGUUGUAAACCGCUUUCGCCUGUGACGAAGCGUGAGUGACGGUAAUGGGUAAAGAAGCACCGGCUAACUACGUG